CCUGAAGCGAGGUUGAACGCACGUCUCAUGUUUUCAUUGUACAAUGUGCUACACAAAGCACCGAUUCCCCCGCGCUUUCUAGGCACAUUGCUGCAAUUUUAUUGUGAAGAAGAAAAGAAAGGUAGCGAAGAGAGAUUGCUUAGAGCUCCUAGACCUUGUAAUCGUUGCUGAUAUUGAGGACAGACGCCAAAUUUAAUCGAGAUGGUAUCAUUUCCUGUGUUAUGCGUAUUCUGCCUUGUGUCAGGCAUUAUCGCUCACAAUGCGUCCUCCAGCUGCAAGUCUAGCGGCUAUGAAUGCAAGCUGAAGCUUUUCUGCCCGAAGCAAGACAGGGUACAUCUAAAAGGCUGUUGGUUUUGGAGUACGUGCUGCAAAACAAAGAAAUCGAAAACCUGUUCGUCGAUUCACGGCAAAUGCCAACAUCACUCUGAAAAAUGCGCCGGACUUGUGAACGGGAACAUAAAAUGCGAAAAAGGCCAGAAGUGUUGUGUCCCCGUUUUGCACUAGUGACCUUUGGAAACUGCAAAUACGCCGUUUUUUCUGCUGGCUUCAUGGAAGCGACUUACCCGGCGUUUUCCUCAUGGUAUUAUUAACAGAAUAUUUCAGAAAUAAAGCUUCCCAUAUUCGGUAAAUUGGAACGAAA
Molecule: long non-coding RNA, 640 nt
Organism: Dermacentor silvarum
Lineage: Eukaryota; Metazoa; Arthropoda; Arachnida; Ixodida; Ixodidae
Exons: 3
Source: RefSeq, a predicted model, not a curated record